UGUUCUACAGGUUACAGUGUUAAGUAUGAAGUCUCUAAUCUUAAAUUGUGUCUUUUCAAAUUUUAGCUAAGUCUGGCGCACGAGCAUUCCUGGCUUGGACUGCAGCAGGAGCUAGGGUGGGUCAGAGAGUGCUCCAAUGUAUGCUGCCAGCAGUAGGAGCUGAGGGACUUUUUGAAAGCCUGGAGAACUUGACCAGAGACACCUCUAACUGUACCGUCUCCAAAACCUCGCAUGCAGAAACCAGCACAGAACAUGUGAUUAUCUACUGCUUAUAGGAAUGAAUAAUGAUCUCCCACUGACUGGCAUAUCAGUCUGGAGAACAUGAAAUGCAGCAAAGCUGAUCCUGUGGCACCACUUUUCUCUAGGGCGCAAGUCUUAGACCUUCAGGGGAAAUCUUUAGAACAGAUACACUAUCACAGGAUUUACUUUACUGACAGAAAGCUCCUGAUGACUUUUGUCCUUUCAGUUUGGAGGAGUAUUAUUCGUCUGCCAUCAUUUUUACGUGAGAGAAGAGUAAGGAAAAUGUUAGACAAAAGAAAACUUGUGUUUCCAUCUAAACCCUCUAACCGGACUACAGGGCCUCUGGUAGAUUGGAGAGAGAUAUGUUGAAGAGUCAUCAGGAUUUGGCACUUGAUGGGAACCAGGAGGUGCUGCAUAGGCUAUGUAAGUAGUCUGAGCUCCUGGCACUGCGUUUGCAUGGUGCGCUGUGAUGAGGUGUGGAACGUAUGAUGUGGAACAUGGGGAUUCUUUUUGA
This 754-nucleotide long non-coding RNA is filed under the name Struthio camelus australis. RNAcentral describes it as "lncRNA (ENSSCUG00000011949.1)". Lineage: Eukaryota; Metazoa; Chordata; Aves; Struthioniformes; Struthionidae. The record is from RNAcentral.